AGUUGAUAACCAUUAAAACUUUUGUAUAUAAAUUUGAGCUCCGUGUGCUUGAAAAUUCACAGACUCUGUAAACACAUAGACACAGUAAAACUUUACGUUUUGUGGCUCAUUUGGGGAAGAGAAUUGUUUGAAAUCUAGCAAAGCCUACCAACGAACAGUUUCGUAUAAAAUCACCAUGUUGAACACUGUAUAUCUAUUUACUUUAGUAUGUUUGAUCUCGACAGCAUUGGGUACCAGUAUUAGGAGAUCAAGUGGCUGUGAUACUGCUCAGCUGGAUAGGUGCACGGAAGCCAUGACAGAUGCAGAAAAAAUAUUUACAUUCGGUAAACGUGGUACCAACGGUCCUCUCUCAGAAUGUGGAUUAUACAAUGAUAUGGUUACUUGUUUGAAUAGAAAUAAUCUUCUAGCUAAUUGUGCUGGAACAGAAGCUUGGUUCAGUGCUAGAUUAGUGGUAGAUUCAUUUGGUUACAUGUGUGGUGGUGGUAGAAAUGAAACUUUAGCAAAUAUGGACUGUUUUGAUAACCCAGAUGUAGAAGAUGCUGUGUAUACUUGUAUUAAAAACUUUCAGUCUGAUAUGAAUUCAUCUGGUGAUGCUUGUAGUUCUGUGGGAAGAAUACCAGAUUGUGUUGCUCAUGAAACCCUACGUGUGUGUUCGCCUGGCGCGGCAUCCGCCAUGAAAGACAUCAUGCGCCAUGGUCUUAGAUCUCUUGAUGAAAUUUUUAACUGUUGAUUCAAACUUUAUAAGUCUGCUGUGGAUUUAUUGUGUGUUGUGUCGGGAUUAGGUCAGAACGGCCAUAAACGAUAACGACCAAAAUUCACUUUGGUCAAAAAUCAAAAUGGCAAUAAUUUGUUCAUAUCGGCUAAUAUUUUUGCUGUUUUGACCAAAUUUGUCGGCCGUUAUGGUAUAUGGCCGUUAUAUCCGUAACCCGUUCUGUCUGCAGUACAAUAACCACUAUAAACUAACUAACAACUAAUAUUGUGUUUUCACAGCCAAGGUCUAGUGUGAUAUGUUUAGUGACUAGUGACUAAUUAUUGAAGUUGAGAAAUAUAACAUGUUUGUAACUUUAAAUAAAAAAAAUAUUGUAAAGA
This is a long non-coding RNA of Patella vulgata (common limpet), 1089 nucleotides long. RefSeq lists it as uncharacterized. The record is from RefSeq and is a predicted model, not a curated record. The transcript is spliced from 5 exons. Lineage: Eukaryota; Metazoa; Mollusca; Gastropoda; Patellidae.